Long non-coding RNA from Lonchura striata (white-rumped munia), 2042 nucleotides. The record is from Ensembl. Lineage: Eukaryota; Metazoa; Chordata; Aves; Passeriformes; Estrildidae.
UCUUCCGGGUGUUGGCUGCUGGUAGCUCCUCAUAAACAUCCAAAUACCAAUUACCCAAAAUUUGCUUAUCAUCCACCAGCAAGUGUUGGCUAAUUUGAAGCCAUAACAUUUUCUAUAUGGAAGUUUUUUUGUUUGCCUGUAGAUAGCUGCUGUUUUAGCCUGGUUGAGAUCUCCAUGUGUUUGUAGUUUCCCUGUUGUCCCUUUUGCCCAGCCUGACACAGAAGUUGCCUGGGGCUUGCAGUCCUCACUGUGUCAGCAGCGCAUUGUCCCUGUAUCAGCAGGAGCCUGCAGGCUUGUGGCACAUGCUGUGCAGUGCUCAGAAGACUAGUGCUGAGUGCUUACAGGCGGUGCGAUGCUAUUUCUGCCUGGCAACAGGAGGAAGACCUGUCCUUCAGUGACAAAUAAGAAGCUAAGCCUUUUGACUCAGCAACACAGGAUGCAGAAGGGAAAUCCUGAUGUUAGGUCAGAGCUGAGGACUCUGGAGCAGCAGUUGGUGCUCAUCUGCAAAAUCUCACUGCCCUGGAGCCAGCCCUACCCCUACCACUGUGAUGGCUGAACAAUUGAGAGAAGAAAUGCUGCCUAACACCCCUAUGCCCUGGGCGCUGCUCCCAACCAUGUCUGUGAACAGCAAUGUGGCAGGAGUUCCUUUGGAGGCUCAGUGACAGCCAGUCCUUGUUAGACCUGGGCAAGGUUUACCAUCAGCUGGUUGCCCGCUGCUGUGACCUGUGUCUAGUCUUGUGUCUUGUAGUUUAUUGCUCGGCUCCUCACCUUGAGUUCUGUGUACUGAAUCCACCUAAUCACAGUAGAAGGUUUGCCCAUCUUUUAGCCAUGACUUUGCCAUGUUUUUCCAGCUCCAAAAAAGCAAAUGCUGGAAAACUGCAUCUUCCAAUACGUUGGAUAAUCACACACCUGGAAUUAACUUUCACACUGAGGACUGCAGCAGAGACAGAGAGUGCGAGAUGUGCUGGAAGGACUGCGUGGGCAUUGGGGCAGCCCCUUCUCUGUAGCACUCCCAGGCACAUAUUCAUUCAUGCGUUCACUUACUUGCACUCACCCAUGCAUGCUCCACUGCCUGCCACGGCCCUGUGAUCACUGUGUAUGCAUAGCAGGAUGCUCUGCUGGAACCCCAGCUCUGUCUCCUGGGAGACUUGGCUGGCCUGCAGGAAAUGCAGAGCAGGGUGCUGUUGUGAGGGUCUUUGUGUUCCCAUCUUUGGAGUUGCCUUCAUCAGAGACCAGGGCUUCCUCUGAUUUGUCUGCUGGAGCCUUGUUUGCAGAGCACAGUCCGGGGCUGGAGGUGCAGAGGGUGUGCUGUGGAUGGCGGUGACAUCACCUUCCCACGCAUAAUCUCCCUACUUUCUGCAGGAGCCACCUUGAAGCUCCCCUUGGCUCAGUCCCCCUUCCCGGUGGCCUGGGUGGGCAGAGUGCACCUGCCUCACUUGGCAGCCAUGGCAUAGGGGCUGAGCAGAACUCCACUGGGGAGGAUGAAGGUUUGCCUGAGGGCUGCAGGGGUGGCUUUGACAGUGUGGGUACUUAGCAGGGAAGCCUACUCUGAGGCAAGGUGCUGUGACAGCCAUGCAAACCUUGAUGAGAUAGCAAGGAUUUUGCUAAGUGGAAAGCAGAGCUUCUUCUGCAGUGAAGGAAAGUUCCUCUUACUUUCUUCUUGUCACCAUUCAGCAGGCUGGCUGCAGGUAGCUGUGGGAAGAACAAUCGCAACUCUUUGGGGAAGGUCUGCCAGCUCUGAGCCAAGCCAUUCCCAGGCUGUCUGGGCCAAAUGUAGGUGUAAGGGCAGUUAGGUUAGCAGCUGCUAUAAAACUGGGGCAGGAGGAAUUAGGAAUUAGUGGAAGAGGCUCCAUAAAGCAGAGAGGUCAUACAGGUCUGGACUGACUCUGAACACAGCAGAGCCUUCUGUGGCACUGGUGAAGGGGAAUCUGAGCAAGGUGCUCCUCUAAGCCCUUUGAGCAGAGCUUGUCAGAAAGGUGCCAUCUGCCCACUUAGUUCUCUCUGAUGCAUCUUCCUUGAAUAAAGUGACACAGUUACAGACA